UUACAUCUCUUCGGAGCAUUUUACGUAGGUGCUGCAUGGUUGUCGUCAGCUCGUGCCGUGAGGUGUCGGGUAAGUCCCAUAACGAGCGCAACCCUACCUUUACGUUGCCAUCAGGUAAUGCUGGGGACUCUAAAGGAACUGCCUACGCAAGUAGUGAGGAAGGCGGGGAUGACGUCAAAUCAGCACGGCCCUUACGUCCAGGGCUACACACGUGCUACAAUGGCCGAUACAGAGGGCAGCUACCUGGUGACAGGAUGCAAAUCUCCAAAGUCGGUCUCAGUUCGGAUCGGAGUCUGCAGCCCGACUCCGUGAAGUUGGAUUCGCUAGUAAUCGCGCAUCAGCCAUGGCGCGGUGAAUACGUUCCCGGGCCUU
Molecule: ribosomal RNA, 372 nt
Filed under: uncultured Sphingobacteriales bacterium
Lineage: Bacteria; Pseudomonadati; Bacteroidota; Sphingobacteriia; Sphingobacteriales
Description: bacterial SSU rRNA
Rfam family: Bacterial small subunit ribosomal RNA
Source: RNAcentral